Molecule: ribosomal RNA, 484 nt
Filed under: uncultured bacterium
Lineage: Bacteria
Description: partial 16S ribosomal RNA
Rfam family: Bacterial small subunit ribosomal RNA
Source: RNAcentral
AUUGAACGCUGGCGGCAGGCCUAACACAUGCAAGUCGAGCGGAUGAAGGGAGCUUGCUCCUGGAUUCAGCGGCGGACGGGUGAGUAAUGCCUAGGAAUCUGCCUGGUAGUGGGGGAUAACGUCCGGGAACGGGCGCUAAUACCGCAUACGUCCUGAGGGAGAAAGUGGGUGAUCUUCGGACCUCACGCUAUCAGAUGAGCCUAGGUCGGAUUAGCUAGUUGGUGGUUUAAAGGCCUCCCAAGGCGACUAUCCGUUACUGGUCUGAGAGGAUGAUCAGUCACACUGGAACUGAGACACGGUCCAGACUCCUCCGGGAGGCAGCGGAGGGGAAUAUUGGACAAUGGGCGAAAGCCUGAUCCAGCCAUGCCGCGUGUGUGAAGAAGGUCUUCGGAUUGUAAAGCACUUUAAGUUGGGAGGAAGGGCAGUAAGUUAAUACCUUGCUGUUUUGACGUUACCAAAAGAAUAAGCAACGGCUAACUUCGUG